This is an RNA transcript of Cyclopterus lumpus (lumpfish), 4602 nucleotides long. It is a transcript of the gene named guanine nucleotide binding protein (G protein), alpha inhibiting activity polypeptide 3, with no coding region annotated. The transcript has 13 exons. Lineage: Eukaryota; Metazoa; Chordata; Actinopteri; Perciformes; Cyclopteridae. The record is from RefSeq and is a predicted model, not a curated record.
AUGAACGCGCGACUGCGCAGCAGCAACAGUUUUGAGGGGAAAACCUGUAGAUUGUUAUUGCUAGUUUUUGAUUAGUUUCUACUUAAAGUAUUUUUGAUGAGUUAUUUUAUAGUUUGUACGUGCCUGUGAGAGUAGACUGUAAACUUCGGAUGAUUUGGAUCGACAUUAUUAUCUUUUGGGAGAGUUUUUUUUCAAUUAAAAUCCUGCAGUUGAUCACCUGUACAGACUCCAGAGUGUGUGUACUGAAGCAGAGUAAACUCAGCAUCAGACUGUGGCCUCAGUUGGACCGACGAGCCUCUGGUGCCAACGCCUUUCCCCCCUCUCUCUCUCUCUCUCUCUCUCUCUCCCUCUCUCUCCCUCUCUCUCUCUCUCUCUCUCUCUCCGCUACUGCUGUGCUGGGACACUUCAGUUCGCACUGGGCUCGUUUGACGGCGUUUACCUUCUUCAACUCAUGAGCUGCUGAAACCACAAUCCGAAACUAAAGAAGUCGCGUGAGAGGGAAAAAUGGGCUGCACGAUCAGCGCCGAGGACAAAGCCGCGGUGGAGAGGAGUAAAAUGAUUGACAAAAACCUGCGGGACGACCGGGAGAAGUCCUCCAGAGAAGUGAAACUGCUUCUGCUUGGUGCUGGGGAAUCUGGGAAAAGCACAAUAGUAAAGCAGAUGAAAAUCAUUCAUGAAGAUGGCUACUCAGAAGAGGAGUGCAAGCAGUACAAAGUGGUGGUGUACAGCAACAGCAUCCAGUCCAUUAUGGCCAUCAUCAGGGCGAUGGGCCGGUUAAAGAUAGAUUUUGGGGAUGCUGCGCGCGCGGACGAUGCCCGCCAGCUGUUUGUCCUGGCGAGCUCGGCGGAGGAAGGGGUGUUAUCGGCGGAGCUGACUGGUGUGAUUCAGAGGCUUUGGAGCGAUGCUGGAGUUCAGGCGUGCUUCGAUCGAUCACGAGAGUAUCAGCUCAACGACUCCGCUGCUUAUUACCUGAAUGACUUGGACAGGAUCUGUCAGCCGAGCUACGUGCCGACUCAGCAGGAUGUGCUACGUACACGUGUGAAGACCACUGGCAUCGUGGAAACUCACUUCACCUUCAAAGAUCUCUACUUCAAGAUGUUCGAUGUCGGGGGUCAGCGCUCGGAGAGGAAGAAGUGGAUCCAUUGUUUUGAGGGAGUCACAUCUAUCAUUUUCUGCGUGGCGCUCAGUGACUAUGACCUUGUGUUGGCUGAGGAUGAGGAGAUGAACCGGAUGCAUGAGAGCAUGAAGCUCUUCGACUCCAUCUGCAACAACAAGUGGUUCACGCUCACCUCCAUCAUCCUCUUCCUCAACAAGAAGGACUUGUUUGAAGAGAAGAUAGGCAGGAGUCCGCUUACUAUCUGCUACCCACAAUACCCCGGUGGGAACUCAUACGAUGAGACUGCAGCUUAUAUCCAGUACCAGUUUGAAGACUUAAACAAGAGGAAGGACACCAAGGAGAUCUACACCCACUUCACUUGUGCCACAGACACCAAGAAUGUGCAGUUUGUGUUCGACGCCGUCACUGACGUCAUCAUCAAGAUCAACCUGAGGGAGAUCGGGCUCUACUAAAGCUUCAGGCCAUGCAGGAGCAGACCAAGGACUUCUGGACUGGUAUGUCUUGUCUGCAGAGGGCAAAUUGGAAAGUAGGUGUUACUUAAGGACUAAGCUGAUGGCCGCGCUGCAAGCAGGACCUAAAUUCCACAAUUGGGGCACUUGAUACUACGAUUAUUUUUGUCUUAAUAGGUAUUGUGAUGCAGGGCAUACUGGGAGAAAGUGAUGAGUUGGGAAACAAUCACUGUGAGAGCUGUGGAGUCCUGUCAUAUUUAAGAGCUCUGCAUCAGUCGAGGGGCUGGCAGAGAUUGGUGUUAAUGAUAAAUACGACUCACAACACAGUAGCGUUAGUCAAAAGGAAGCGACGAGGAUCGGAUGAGCAACUACUUCAUCUUCAUACCUUCAAACCAGCAGCGUCUGGUGGAUGUAAUAUUGGAGAUGGUGGUGUGCUACCAGCAGUCAAGGACCGGGACUUGGCAUGGAAGCGAUGGCGUGAACACAACCAACACGAUCUUCUGUGCUCCAACGGGACACUUCUCAGUUAAUGCCAAUACGUGAGGGGUCAAGGCAGAGCAGACACUUUUAAGACCGCCGGUGGGAUGUACGUGCAUUAAGCUUGUUGUUCCAGGAUUGGAGCAGCUGAUCUCCUGUGGUCAUGAUGGGUGGAGGUCAGUGGGCCUGGUCUUAUGGGCUGUUACUGCCCCGCGUGUUAGAGGACUUACAUUGAGAUACUCUAUUGCUGAUGUAUAUUUUCCCCAGAAAAUCACUUCAAAAACCAGCACAAAAUGUUGUUUGGUUUAAUUUAUUACCUUUAAUGUCCCAUGCUUUUUAGUGAAGCGUUUUAAUUUAUCUUUUACUUUACAUACUUUUGACAUUGCAUUUUAGAGGUGUGAUCAAAGCAUAAAUCAGUUGUGGUUGCUGAAUGUUUAAAACCUUCGUAUUUGAGAAAGGAGCAUCGCAGUUCAGUAGAGAUUACAUGACUGUCCCGCUACGACUGAAGGGAAAGUUCUCUUUAAAACCCAUUUAAUGUAGCCUCUAAUGAGUGCUGCAGGGAUGAGGUAUUUAUGACAGGCAACCCCAAAGGUUAGCAUAAUGUGUUCCCUCAACAAAAAGACAAUGCUAUUUUUCUAUUGGAUUUGGGAUUUUUGCAGAAAAUUGGAUUUUGCAAACAAAAGACAUCUGCAGUAGAUUCUUGUCUGUGUGUGGAUAUUCUUUAACACACUGCUGCUUAAACUGGCAAAUUAAUCAGGAACAUGCAAUUUAAUAUUUACAUUUAGUCUUUAAGUCUUCAACAUUUGGAGAUAAAAACUAUGUUUUGAGACUACAAGAAUGUUGAAAUAAAAAUAUAUAUUCUUGGUUGAAUUGAUGUCUUCAGUCUUCUAUGUUUUUGUGUUUAAUGUGUCGUGGUGAUUAUGGCUAAAAUGAUCAACAUCAGCAGUAGGGCAGUGUUUUUAAUCACGCUUCAGCUGUUUGACAUCAGCUGUUUGACGUCAUAAAGCUUUUUAACCGUGGCCAAAAGCAUAAUGUUUUUGGUUUGUCUGUCCAUCUGUACGUCCGUCAGACCCAUUCUCGUAAACACCAUCUGUGCAAUCAAAUACCCAUACUACCACACUACGCCAGAAAAAUAUUUAGUGUGUCCCGAUACAUAGCAUUUAAAAGGCAGAAUGCUAAAAAUAGCCGGAUGUCCUACUGCAUCCGGUCACAUUUUGCAGCAUGUAAGCAGCAUGCGUUCCUGGCCAUUCUGAUCCACAACCCUCUACGCAGCUGAUAUGUGAGCAAGAGGGUCAAAGUUCAAGCUGCACUGUUAUGCCUAAGUCGUAUGUCCCAAUUGAAUGCAUACUGCAUGCAACAGUACUCACUUUGUAAAGGCAGGUGCAGUAUGAAAUGAAAGCAAAAACAAUAUGUGUGUGUUUAUUUCAGGAACACUUUGAGGGAAUUACUCAAAUGGUACAAGCGACCACCUGGACUCAAGGUUGAACUGAUUUAAAAUGUGGUGGUCAAAGGUCACUGUGACCUCACAGCAGUUAUUCUAGUUUAUCAAGUGCAAUCUAAUGAACUAGGAGGAAUUACUGUAUUAAAAAAAGCCUUUUUGUAAACUUUGCACAUAUUUUUCCCACGUGUUUCUAACUUUCUCUGAACGUUUAUUGUAGGAGGAGCAGGUUUAAGAGAAGUGGGAUCAGACCGUCCGAGUACCAGUUCGGUGACGUCAGGGUCAAACAGGCUCAGCGGGAAGCUAAAGGAUUGACAGACUGGGAUCUCUGAGGAAGAAAACGUGUGACAUGUUAAUGGAGGUGAAAACAGAAACAAUGAAGCCAUUGAGUUUCACAGUGGCUUCAAAAGAUCAUCUUUGUUUUCUGUUUUUAAUGCUACUUCAUAAUUCCUCGGCAGACUUCACUACAGGAGAUCCCGUCCCAUUGAUGAGCUCAUGUGGUUUUACUCUACAUGCUUUUGGACAAGUCUGCAAAAUAGAUGAGUGUCCUCCCUCUGAUGACGCAAAGGGGAAGCUUGAAGACCUCAUACUGAAGCAAGAUGUUGUGAUACUCGCUGUUAAUCCUCUUACACAAAAUAUAGCUAUACCAUUAACUCUGUAGAAUUAAAAAUGAUGAGACAAACUUUUUUCUUUUUUUUCUUCUCUAUAGUCUCCCAUAUAUAUACUGUAUGUAUAUGCAUGGAUAUAUAUUUAUCAACCCGCAUCAUUUUCAAACAGUAAAAGAGACAAUUUUGAGUAUUCUUAGUAAUAUUUUUUUUUCAUUUGGACCUAUUCACGCUCACUGACCAUGAUCUUCCUUUUUACCAACAUUAGACUGGUACAACAGCUUGUAUCAAUAUUGUCCUUUUUGUGAGACAUCUUGUAUCAUGCGAUCAGCUGAUGAUGAGUUAGUUUCCCUGGAGCCCCAGUGUGCUACGCAUCUGAUUUUCAGAAAGAUAAAUACCCGUCAAUCUUUGAGUAACUCACAAGGUCGUUCAACAACAAAUGUGAAAGUAUUUCCAGAAUCUUUCAAACUGUUUUGACCAUCUGGAUAAAAACAUAUUCUGUCAGCUGCACAUUAA